UUGGGGGAACUCCGAAAACAGGAAGACAGAAAAGUCACAAGAACAGGCUUAACGAGAAGCUGGGUUUUAGUGAGAAUAAAAUUGGACAAGUAAGGAAUGUCAAUGGGGGCUGGAGGACAUCCGAAUAGAGAGGGAAGACAGAAACAAGCCCAGUCGGUGUAAGAGAAAAAUGAGCUUACUAAAAAGAGGGUGUCCUAGCACAUACAGCAGAGAGGACAGAGCAAAAGUAAGGAGUCCAUGAAAGCCACAAAAGGCACAAGACUCCAUGCACAGCAAGAAGACUCACAGGGUCAAACAGGAGUGAGAGGGAGUUGUGCCUCUAGAAAAAGGCAAGGCACCAAGAGGACAGCUGUCAAGACACUAAUGCUGAGUGACAAGCACUAAGUUAAAGAAGAAAGCUACCAGACACGGCGAAUGUCAAAAGAUGUGGAGGCUGCGGCUAUAGAAGACUGACUGCUAUUAUCUAUGUCUGACGAGAUUUCCUUCAAACAGUUCAAGCAAAGCAACACAUUGCAGCAAAUUAAACGCAGAAGCAGCGAUGAGAUUCCAGAUGUCUUCUGUUAGGCUAAACUUUAAAGAACUUGCAAAAAUGCAAAAUAAUUUCAAUUCUGUCAUUUAAUCUUCUUUCAUUGUGAAAGUAUGUUCCUUUUUCAUAAAACUACAUUGUGAUGACAUA
Rattus norvegicus (Norway rat) is the source of this 676-nucleotide non-coding RNA. Lineage: Eukaryota; Metazoa; Chordata; Mammalia; Rodentia; Muridae. The record is from RefSeq and is a predicted model, not a curated record.